Rattus norvegicus (Norway rat) is the source of this 6470-nucleotide non-coding RNA. The record is from RefSeq and is a predicted model, not a curated record. Lineage: Eukaryota; Metazoa; Chordata; Mammalia; Rodentia; Muridae.
UUCUACCCAGAAGGACACUGACAGCUAGGGUGCUGUGACAGCCAAGCUUGAGCCCCAUGGCGGGCUUGUUUCCUGCCACACGCCAGUGCCUGUUUUCCCUGAGGGAGAAAAGUCUUCCAUGGUGUCUGAGGUCUUCAGACAGGCCUGGGCUACUGGGAUCUCUCUAGGAGGAGGCAAGGCACCUUUACUAUCCGAGACAAGGGAAAGACCAGAAGGAGAGACAAAGAGACUGAGACAGAGAGACACACAGAGAAAGCAAAAGCAACAUUAGAUCUGGAAAACUCAAUGACAGCAAGGCUCAUCCUGCUUCUCUGCACAGCAGGACCUAUGGUGCUCAUAUUCAGCAACUUGAAAAUCGAUUCUUUUCCUGGGCGGUGGAACUGCAAAGUCUCAAGGCAUUAGAGAUCAAGACGGACACAUCUGCUGCGAAGUAUUGAAGAUGAGAAGACCCAAGACCAGACCCAAAAGAGGCACCAGGGACCCUGGCUUUAAAAACAUCGGUGAGCGCCAAAGCCUAGGCUUAGAGAACAAAUGCAGACUUUUGUGUUGGAAAAUAGCGUCCUUAUUUCCAGCCUGCUAAAGGGACUUUGAGAGUUCUUCACAGCCGUUGAUCAGGCUGAGUGAAGUUUCAUUACUUAUCUGUUUUUCACGGUUGGUUUUUCUAGAAGAUUCGGGGGUCCGGUUGAUUGUCUCUCUUCUGAGGAAUAGUUAUGAAACCAUCGAGGGUAGCUCAGCUCUGUCAUCCAAGCGUGCACCUCUGGGGUUUGACUGUUUGGCUUUCUUUCUUUGUUGCCUACAUCUCCACCAUAAUUCUUGGCCAAUUUGCUGAACUAGAGGCUUUGAAGGUAUGGACUCUCUUACUGGGACGGCAUCAUGAGAAUGAGAAUUAACAAUCUUGAAAGGGACUCGGAGCCCCACUGCAUUUUCUGCAAUGCUGAUUAAUUCACUAGAACUUCAGUGAUUGAAGAGCAAGCCUAGAGCACAUUAUUUUGUGCAUCUCCAAGCAUUCUUAGUAGCCAUUUAUUGCCCUGUACCUGACUUAACACCUUUGUGACCAUUGGGCAAAUCCUUUAGAAUGUGUGAACAGACACCUGGUUUCCAACCCACCAAACAGCUGCCAGAGAGCCUCAAGUUCAACGGCAGAGUUUGCUCUGCUUUGCUGUAACCCGCUCCCCUAUGUUUCCAGCAAAGUUUUUGAAAAGGGUCUUCAUUCAUGUCUUUCAUCGUUCUGUUACUGUUAGUGGACAGGCAAUUCCACUGGUCUGCUCUCAGGGACCUGGCAAUUGCUUACGUCAUCACCUGCCGCCGGCAGGCGCUCCAAGUGUGCUACCGAUAAAGAGGACCCCUCCACCACCACCCCACCCUUUUGUCUGAUUUGAUGUGCCCCUAUUCCCUCCCUCUAUGCCCCCCUUUUCUCUGCCCUCAGGGCUCUCUCUGCUCCAGUCUGUCUGUCUACAUAUCCACUUGUCUGCCUCUAUCUCUUCACCAAGUCCUCAUUUUGCUCCUCUCCCUGAAUAAGCCUACUUUACAUCAGACCUGUUUCAUAGGGUUUUCACGUGUGCACCUUGGUUCAGGCCCACCAAAGAAGGUACCCUUCACCACAUUGUAUUUCAUAAUGGUUACCAUAAAGCCUUCAUUAUUGUUUUUAAUUUAACUUAAUUUUUUUAUCCAACUCGAUGCACCCCUCCUGGUUACCCCCUCCCAUAUCCUUCUACCCUUUCCCUUCUCCUCUGAGCAGGUGGGGGCCCCCUGGGUAUCCCACCCACCCUGGCACUUCAAGGCUAGGCGCUUCCUCUCCUACUGAAGCCAGACAAGACAGCCCAGUUAGAAGAGCAUAUCCCAUGUACAGGCAACAGCUUUUGGGAUAGACCUGGCUCCAUUUUUAAGGAACCACAAGAAGGUCAAGCUACAUAUCCACUACAUAUGAGUGGGGAGGUCUAGGUCCAGCCUAUAUAUGUUCUUUGGUUGGUGGUUCAGACUCUGAACGCCCCAAAGUUCCAGGAUAGUUGACUGUUGGCCUUCCUGUGGAGUUCUUAUUCCUUUGGGGCUGCAAUCCUUCCCUCUAUUCUUCCAUAAGAGUUCUGAAGCUCCAUCCACCGUGGAUUGACAACAUCCACUCUCAGAGGACAACAAGCUCCUGUCAUCAUCUUCAUGUUUCCUAUGUCUACUCACCUGAGGAGCCAUAACUUACUCCCUAAAAAUAAUUCAAUAUUUCCUUUUACAGAACUCAUUCUCACUGCCUUAAACCACCAUCAUUAUUUUGUUACUUUGUAACUAAUACAAACAAGUAUGGCAGGAUUUAUCACAGCCCACAAAGCAACCCCCUUUUCCCUUUUAUGUCAACCCUAACUUAGUGCGAAGGCCCCUUAGUUACUGAGGAAUCUGCUGUCUGUCCUCUGUUGCAGAAUGCACUUGUGUAAAUGGGAGGUAUUAAGGCCGAGAAACUCUGAGUGCAUAGCAAAGCCCCAGAGGGUCCUGGCCCAUAUCUGAGCUCCUGGCUUGGACCUAAGGAGAGAUCCUGGGAGCUAUUGAUCGCCUCAUGCCUGACUACUGCAGGGUCUGGCUAUGGUCUACCUGUUGAAGCAAAAUGUGGUGUGGUGUUUUUGUUUGCUUGUUUUUUGUUUGUUUGUUUGUUUGUUUGGUGGUAAACACCUCCAGUAGACAUCUUCUUUACUGAGGUAGUGGGAAAGAGAUAGGAAAGGAAACAUUAUUACACAUCGUAUAGCUCUCACAUACUCACUUUUUUCAUUUGUGUUCUGUUCAGAAUCAUGCCCCAUGUGCACAAUAGCAUUGCUGUGAUAGAACACACACACAGUAUUUAUGCCACCAUUGAACACAUGUCAGAGUAGGGACUAAAGCAGAAAUGUCCCUGCAUUAAUGGGAAUAUCCCAUUUAACAUCAUGAUAUCCUUACUCUUAUGUUUAAUUUUAUUCAUGUACUAUGUAUGAGGGGUAUUGUGCAUUAGUGUCAUGGAACAUUUGUGGAGGUUAGAAGAUAUCUGGUCAGCUUUAGGUGUCACUUAGCACAGCCUAGAGUCAUCUGAGAGGGGAGUUUCAAUUGAGAGACUACCCAGAUAAGAAAGGCCUGUGAGCAUGUCUGUGGGGGUUGUCUUGAUUAUUCACUGAUGCAGGAGGGCCUAGCCCACUGUGGGUGGCACCAUUCCCCAGGCAAAUGAUCCUGUGCCAUAUAAGAAAGAUAGCUGAGCAUGGGCCUUAAAGUGAGCCAACAAAUGGCAUCCUCUAAGGUUUCUGCUUCGAGUUUCUAGUUGAAUUCUUGUCUUAACUUCCCCCGAGGAUUGGUCAUUACAUGUAAACUGAAAUAAACCCUUCCUUUUCAUAAGUUGCUGUUGGCCAGAGCAUUUUAUCACAGCAACAGAAUGGAAGCUAGAACAGAGAGAGCAGCAUUGUGGGAUUGGUACCCUUUCUCCAUCAUGUCUUGGGUUUUGGAGUUAGAACUCAGGUCAUCAGGCUUUUAUCCACAGAGCUAUCUCACCAGAGCAAUAUAUUUUAAAUGGAGAUGCAAUUCUGUAAUUUCUAAUUAAGAUAGUAUCAAAGAAGAGACAUAUUGGUUGCUAUAUAUGUAUCUAUUUUUUAAUCUAUUAAUUAUGCAUCUAUCUCUCCCUCUCAUUUUAUGUCUUCCCAUGGUUACUUCAAUUCUGAGUUGCCAGUAAAGAGACCUGUAUAUUUCGAGCCACAGUUUUGAAUCUCUCUGUAGUGGGUUUGGCCUACUGUUGCUUGUGUUCUAAUGUUAAUUUGGGUCCCCAAAACUGCUUACAUGAGUCUCUGCACAUAGCUUCUGGGAACCUGCCUCCAGUUGGUUGUGACUGGUAAAUAAAAAUGCUGGCAGCCAAUAGCUGGGAAGGACAAAGGUGGGGUGGGGUUUAGGACUGGGAGAAAGGAAGGAAGAGAGAGGAAGCGUGAGAUACCUGAUGCCAGAAGAGUUUGGAGAAGAGGAGAGGCUCCAUGCCUGAGGAGAGUACAAGACAGAGAGACAUGGCUGCCAUGUGAAGGAGCCGGGAGAGUACAGCAAAGAUCCUGGCCCAAAUUCCAGACCAGCCUAGAUAGAAUAUAGAGUUUAGUAAUAACUCAGGAUUGUUGGUGGGCAGUGGAUUAACUCCAUGGAGGUUAGGAAGUAGCCCAGCUAUUGCGCUGUUUAACAGCAUAUCAAAAUAUAAAAGCCGAGUGUGUGUGUGUGUGUGUGUGUGAAUGUGUGUGUGUAUGUGUGUGUGUGAAUGUGUGUGUGAAUGUGUGUGUAUGUGUGUGUAUGUGUAUGUGUGUUUGUAUAUGUGUGUGUGUGUGUAAAUGUGUGUGUGUAUGUGUGUGUGUGCGCGCGCGCCUGUGUGUGUGUCCUUCAUUCAGGAACUUAAAACAAUGUGGCAGGUAGCAGCAAAAUCUUGCCGACAGGAUUUUAUUAAUAAAUAAUUAUUUCAACACUUCUCAACUUUUGUUCAAGAAUAUUAGUAACUACAUCAAAGGGUGAGAAACAGUGCUGUAGCAUUUUUUAAUUCUCCCAUUGAUUGUACCUUAAAAAUCAAUCUAGAUUCAACUUUCCAUUUUCUAGGUCCCUGAUCAUACUGAAAAAUAUUCUUUCAUGGCUUUACAUCUACUAAUUUUGUUUUUAAGAUUUGUCUUUUCUUUUGUUAAAUGCAUUUAACCUCUGGGCCAUCUCUCUAGCCACAGUUUUCACUAAUUCUUAGCUUUCCAACUUUUAAAAAAAGCUAUAAUAUCUGUGUCAGUUAUAUAAUGUGUAUUCCACUAGUACAAUUUAAAAAUAAUUUUAUAUUGGUAUGAGUUAAUUGGCACUUUAUAUACAGUGCCAAGCUUCGUAGAUGUAUCUUCUUUCAAGUAUAUCAUACACUUUGAUUAUAUUAAAUGCUCUUACCCAUCUCUCCCUCUUUCUGUUUUAUUAAUUUCUUCCCUUUUAUAGAAUUCUACCUUUAAACAGGUAUCAUUAAUAAGUCUAUUCAAUGAUAUUAUAUCAUUCAUUAUGGCUCUUAUAGAGGACCCAAGUUUAGUUCUCACUACCCAAGUUGCCUGCCAUUCAAGCUCCUAGAAAAGAGAGAGAGAGAGAGAGAGAGAGAGAGAGAGAGAGAGAGAGAGAGAGAGAGUUGUGGGUACAUUCAAUGAAGAAAAGAGGCACUGACACAAAAUGAGUGGCACUACUAAGCACUGUGCUACAACAAUGACACCAGUCACAAAGACUACCUACUAUGUCAGCAUGUUAAUGUGAACUCACCAGAACAGGUGUGCCGGUCAUCUUUAAUCAUCAAUUUGGCACAGACAAGAGUCUCUGAAAGUCUUUCUAUCAAAGAAAGCCUCCACAGAUAAAUUGCCUAGAUAAGAUUGGCUUGUAGACAUGUCCUUAGGAGACUGUCUUGAUUGUUAAUAUAUGAGGGCCCAGCCCACUGUGGGCAGCACCAACCCUAGGCUGAUGACCUUGAAUAUUAUUUUGUGUGUGUGUGUGUGUGUGUGUGUGUGUGUUAAUGUCAUGCAUUAGCUUGCCUGUGUGCCAAUAAACAGUGUCCCUCAUGGUUCCUGCUGUGCUCUUAGGCUCUUAGGCUGUUCCUUGGUGAGAGGUAAUGCUGUAUGGAACACCAAUCAUGCUUAUGUUUAUAUUCCUGCCCCCUCAGUGAUGGACUGUGACCUGAGAGAAUGAACCAAAUAGACCUUUCUCUCCUCUAAGUUGUUUUUGGUAGGAUUAAUUUAUUACAGCCACAGAAAGAAAAAUAGAACAGGGAAAUCCAUAAUGACAGAAACCAGGUCUGUGAUUGACAAGGACUAGGGGCUGGGGAGAACCAGGGCACAGUUAGUAAAGAACAGGACUGUGUAGAUCACAGUGGAAGAUUCUGGAACUAUUUCACAGUGAUGGUUACAUGGCAACUGUGUUUUAGCAUUACUUGAUUGGGUUGUCUUCUUGACAGGGUUACAGCUGGCAGUACACUGUGUGGAUCCGAUGAUUUUAAAAAGAAAGGAGAUUAAAUUUAACUUAUUUAUUUACUUGCUUGGUGACUGUUUCAGGUGUGUGUACAGUCCGUAGUGUGGGUGUGGAGGUCAGGAGACAACUCUCAGGAGUUGAUUCUUUCUCUCCACAUUGUGGGAUCUCAGAAUCAGUGGGCCUGUGCCCCUACCCACUGUGUCAUCUCACCAGGCCUGACUUCAGACCUUGGCUGCUGGUUUUGUCUUUUCCCAACAUUCUAGAAUAUCACAGUCCACCGGCAGCGAGCUCUCUGCCCCAGCCCACUGACUGUACUGAGAGAUUUGAUGGUCCACCAUCAGGACCAAAGGCCGGGGGGUGCUGAGAAACCACUGGAUGUGCUUUGAUGGAGGGAUGUGCAGUUUUUCUGCACCCUCCAAGCUGAACAGCAGAAAUCGGAUCUGGGCACUUCUCUCUGUCAAUGAAGGGAAGUAAAUACAAAUUUUGAGCAGGUUUUCAGAAAUUGCUCUGACAGCUUUUCUAUUAUAGUUCAGUGA